Molecule: ribosomal RNA, 370 nt
Filed under: uncultured Afipia sp.
Lineage: Bacteria; Pseudomonadati; Pseudomonadota; Alphaproteobacteria; Hyphomicrobiales; Nitrobacteraceae
Description: bacterial SSU rRNA
Rfam family: Bacterial small subunit ribosomal RNA
Source: RNAcentral
GGGCGCUUCGGUGCGAGUGGCAGACGGGUGAGGAACACGUGGGGCGGUACCUUUCGGUUCCGAAUAAUUCAUGGAAACUUGGACGUUACCGGAUACGCCCUUGUGGGGAAGGAUUUAUCGGCGAUGGAUGGGCCGUCGUCUGGUGAGCUAGUUGGGGAGGUAAUGGCUCACGAAGGGGACGAUCGGUAUGUGUGCGGAGAGGAUGAUGAGCGACAUUGGGACUGAGACACGGCCCAAACUACUACGGGAGGCAGCAGUGGGGAAUAUUGGACAAUGGGCGCAAGCCUGAUCCAGCCAUGCCGCGUGAGUGAUGAAGGCCUUAGGGUUGUAAAGCUCUUUUGUCCGGGAAGAUAAUGACUGUACCGGAAGA